GCCCGUGUGAUGGAACCGGUAUACAUACUUGUCUCAGACACAAGGUUGUGGGAGUUCGAAUCUCCCCACGGGUA
This 74-nucleotide transfer RNA is filed under the name Ruminococcus sp. RNAcentral describes it as "tRNA-Leu". It matches the Rfam family "tRNA". From Rfam's summary of the family: Transfer RNA (tRNA) molecules are approximately 80 nucleotides in length. Their secondary structure includes four short double-helical elements and three loops (D, anti-codon, and T loops). Lineage: Bacteria; Bacillati; Bacillota; Clostridia; Eubacteriales; Oscillospiraceae. The record is from RNAcentral.